Molecule: long non-coding RNA, 3294 nt
Organism: Passer domesticus (house sparrow)
Lineage: Eukaryota; Metazoa; Chordata; Aves; Passeriformes; Passeridae
Exons: 2
Source: RefSeq, a predicted model, not a curated record
UCAUUUUUUCUGUUAAUUUAUUUCCUUUUUCUCUUCAGUAGUGUUUCAUUGGUGUGGAUAAGGAGUCAGUGCAAUGCUUGGGAACAGCACCAAGCAUUGACCCCAUGAGAUGAUUGACCCCAAUUCUUUAAUUUCCCACCUGGCCUUAGCUGUGUUGUGUUUUUGCAGAAGUCAAUAGUAUCACCUGAGGUUGAAAAUCUGGGGCUGAUACCAUAAUUCCCUGCCUACCUAUUACCUAACCAGCCACUGCAGCAUCCAUCUCCAAGGUGUGGUGUGUAAGCUUCUUGUAAAGCUCAUGGAAGGAGUGAGACCCCUCCAAAAAAUCAAUCCCAAGUCAUUCAAAGUGUAUAAAGAUCCACACAGGGUAAGCCAGGGAGCUCUGGGCAGAGGCAUGAACAUGGAGCCCAGCUCACCCUGGAGCUGAGUUCCUGGAGGCAAGCAGCUGCAUCCAUUCAGGUUGCAGAGCUGCAAAGCACCACACCUAUCAUUUGGGAGGAGGAAAUCCUUGCAUACUCAUCCUUGGCUUUUAAAGAGCUUCCACAAAGGGAAGAAAUGCUGCUGCCUGUAAGGGGAAGAGAGCCUGGGUUUGGUGCCUUUCAUGCUCAAAGGCAGCUUGGAUUUGUGCCUCCCCUCUUCCAGAUGAGUGGCGCAGCUCUUGGUUGGGGCUUGAGCACCUGCAAGCUGUUGCCUGGAGUAAAGGAAGCAUCUGAAAGCUGGCACGUGAGGUGGUUAAAGAAACCAAGCUCCAGAACCCCCAAGCUGGGAGGGGGAAGCUCAUGCAAAGCUGCCAUCCCAGCCAGCUCCAGAUGAAUGACUUUUAUUUAUGAGGCACAUCCCUGAGGAUGGGGCAGUUCAGAACAGCCUGUCCUGGGAGGCAUCCCUGAAGGAAAGCAUUCUGUGCCUGCUCUGUGGCUGCUUGCAUCCUUCUGUGUGCUCCUUGCUGGUUUAAGAGCCACCUCUGCUCCCUGCUGCAGGCAGGUAAAGCCCAGCCCUGUGCCACACGAGUGAUGGGAUUGUGUGGCUGGGAAAGGCUCUUUGCUGAGGUGGGGAGGCUCCCUGGUGGUCCAGCUCUCCCCUGCUCAUCUCUGCAGGGCUCAGGCUCAGUUUGGGGGUGUAGAAGGCCAGGAAGCUAUGUACUUUGGGAGGGAAUGGGACUGGCUUUCCACCUGCCUCCCUAAGCCUGACUCAGCCCACUUUCCCAUGCAGGGACAUCAGAUUAAACCCACAAAGGGCAGGAUGUGUCCCUUGCUUCUCACUCAGGAGCAACCACCCAAAAUGUGGAUCUGGCUCAUAUGAUCAUGGAAAUAAACAUCUCAGCCGUUUAAAAUUAUAUCUUACACUUGAGACAGACAUGCUGAGGACAUAGAGAAACAAUAGAUUUAAUUAGGCUUUUAAAUUGUGACACAUCUAUUAUAUGUUCCGUUACAGCUUUAAAAAAGUCUCACUUUCUGUAUAAUAAAUCUUGCUGGAGUACUACCAUUUAAUUAAAUGGGAGUCAGCACUGGGAACAAUUAAAAUGAGUUUAUGCACUUUCAGGGAAACCCUAUAGCAAGAUGUGCAAAAUAGCAUACAAUAAAAUGAAAAAUUAAGCCCUUAGUGGGUUUGAGCUGCUGCGUAUAAGAAAUUUGAUAAAAAGCAUUUUAAGAAAGUAGGCAAUUUUACAGUGUGGCAAGUAGUCUGUUCUGCCUUGAAGGUACCAGCCCAUGUCCCUUGGAUUUUUGCCAUUGGCAAAAGACUCCAGAUGGACGUAGGCAUCAAUACUAAUAAGUGAAAUACAUCCCUGAGAAAAAAAAAGUUUCUUUGAAACCCUGAAUUGGAGUGGAUGCCAUCUAGCAGAAAGUAUGCAUCAAUAGGCGAAAAAGAUAUCUCUGUUCUGAAUAGUUUCUGAGCUGCUUCAGUCAGAAGUUUCUCUGCUUAUGGGAUUUAGUGAAGGCAAACUUAAUUUUUAGGCUAUCAUUUGUACAGGAACAUAUGUAAGCAAAUAGUGAUGCUAUCUUAACUAGAACAUGAUAUAUACAUUUUAUUGCAUAUUAAAAUCCAUUUCAACGUUGCAUUCAGCCCAGGGUUUUUAGUGUGUUUCCCCCUCUCUGCCUCAGUAUAAACAAGCAGCCUUGAAAUGAACAUCAAAACUAAAUGGCAUUGAAUAUAAUGAAGCAACAUUGAGUCUAAUGAAGCAGAAUUGCUAUGUAAACAGGGAUGCUUUUAUCUCAUUGGAAUUUUUAUGUCCUUGCAUGUCUCUCAGCUGCAUUUUUGUAACCUGAUUCUUAGGAAAUGUCUGAUAUCUCUUUAUGAUUGUUAGCAGAGACCGAGACAGCACUGUAAUGUGUGCUCAGCUGAGUGGUGUGAAAGCACCACAUUGAGUUUGCUGCUUUAGAGGCAAAAUGGUCAUCACCCCCAUCUUGUUACAGGGGGCUGGCUGUAAAACUUGGUAACCUCUUAAGUGUGAAUAGGUCCGCUAAGAAGAAUGAGUUGCAGACACUCAAGGAUUGGGUGAAAGUGCCACUUGGGAGCUCCCUGCCUGUGAGCGUUCCUGCCCUUUCCUUGUCUGUUAAUGCCUUGGUGAAGGCACAGGCAGUAAUAAACAUAAGGAAUAACACCAAACCUCACAAAUCUUUUUCUGGCCUGAGAACCAUGCCUUCCACUCUCUUGCUGUAACAUAAGACUUAGGAGGACACAAGCUGACCUUCCUCUGCCAGGGAAGACUGAAACACCCAGGCACCUGCUCUUUGUCACCUUGGGCUGUUGGAGGAGCUCUGAGAAAGUCUGUGGUUCCUCCAUUGCAAAUUAAAAUACUAGUAAAGAGCUCCCUCAAAUUCCUUUUUAUUCCCACCUUCUUUGAUUCUGCACUUGGAAGUCAUGCUCUUUAAUAAAUAUUGGCUUGCAUCUGAACACCUCCCACUUCUUCACAGAUAUGAGCUUUUUGCCCUUUCGGACAGCAGCUCAAAAUUCAGCAUGUCAAGUUAAUGUGCUGCAGCUCCUCAUAUAAGAGUUGGGUUGAUUAUAAGCAGGUGAAUAAAUGCUGCUGGCAGUGUUGGACAUGGAAAUAUUUGUCAUAAUACACUGACAUACCAUGCCCUUUCACAUUCUCCACUUGAACUUAAAAAAAUAUGAUGGCAAAGUAAAUUAAUGGAACCUUGUCUGUGAUGUAGUCACUGGAAAAAAGGAGAAGGAACCACUGUGAUAGCUAUUGCUGUAAACUGUCCUGUUCUGUAACAGCUGCUUCAUCUAAAACACCAUCAACUCUGCCAAAUCUUGCAGCUAUCCUUAAACCUCUUGAUCCUCAAAGUUUGUGUA